AAUUUUUGACAAUGGGGGAAACCCUGAUCCGGCCAUCCCGCGUGUAUGAUGAAGGCCUUCGGGUUGUAUAGUACUUUUUGCAGAGUAGAAAAGGCAUCCCCUAAUACGGGAUGCUGCUGACGGUAUCUGCAGCAUAAGCACCGGCUAACUACGUGUCAGCAGCCGCGGUAAUACGUAGCGUGCAAGCGUUAAUCCGAAUUACUGUGCGUAAAGCGUGUGUAGGCGGUUCGGAAAGAAAGAUGUGAAAUCCCAGGGCUCAACCUUGGAACUGCAUUUUUAACUGCCGAGCUAGAGUAUGUCAGAGGGGGGUAGAAUACCACGUGUAGCAGUGAAAAGCGUAGAUAUGUGGAGGAAUACCGAUGGCGAAGGCAGCCCCCUGGGAUAAUACUGACGCUCAGACACGAAAGCGUGGGGAGCAAACAGG
This 424-nucleotide ribosomal RNA is filed under the name uncultured bacterium. RNAcentral describes it as "partial 16S ribosomal RNA". It matches the Rfam family "Bacterial small subunit ribosomal RNA", at positions 360 to 776 of the family's 1533-position model. The record is from RNAcentral.